This 307-nucleotide ribosomal RNA is filed under the name uncultured soil bacterium. RNAcentral describes it as "bacterial SSU rRNA". It matches the Rfam family "Bacterial small subunit ribosomal RNA", at positions 26 to 363 of the family's 1533-position model. The record is from RNAcentral.
AGAACGAACGCUGGCGGCAUGCCUAAUACAUGCAAGUCGAACGAGAUCUUCGGAUCUAGUGGCGCACGGGUGCGUAACGCGUGGGAAUCUACCCUUGGGUUCGGAAUAACAGUUGGAAACGACUGCUAAUACCGGAUGAUGACGAAAGUCCAAAGAUUUAUCGCCCAAGGAUGAGCCCGCGUAGGAUUAGCUAGUUGGUGAGGUAAAGGCUCACCAAGGCUACGAUCCUUAGCUGGUCUGAGAGGAUGAUCACGCCACACUGGGACUGAGCACGGCCAGACUCUACGGGAGGCAGCAGUAGGGAAUA